Molecule: microRNA precursor, 61 nt
Filed under: Chelydra serpentina (North American snapping turtle)
Lineage: Eukaryota; Metazoa; Chordata; Testudines; Chelydridae
Description: mir-199a-4
Rfam family: mir-199 microRNA precursor family
About the family: This family consists of the microRNA (miRNA) precursor mir-199 which appears to be specific to humans. Animal miRNAs are transcribed as ~70nt precursors and subsequently processed by the Dicer enzyme to give a ~22nt product.
Source: RNAcentral
CCAGUGUUCAGACUACCUGUUCAGGAGGCUAUAAAGGUGUACAGUAGUCUGCACAUUGGUU